This 68-nucleotide transfer RNA is filed under the name Myosotella myosotis (mouse ear snail). RNAcentral describes it as "tRNA-Asp". Lineage: Eukaryota; Metazoa; Mollusca; Gastropoda; Ellobiida; Ellobiidae. The record is from RNAcentral.
UUUUGACUAGUUUAAGGAAAAUACUAGCUUGUCAAGUUGGAGUUUAAGUUGAUACUCUUAGUCGAGUU